Molecule: ribosomal RNA, 515 nt
Filed under: uncultured bacterium
Lineage: Bacteria
Description: partial 16S ribosomal RNA
Rfam family: Bacterial small subunit ribosomal RNA
Source: RNAcentral
GAUGAACGCUGGCGGCGUGCCUAAUACAUGCAAGUCGAGCGAAUGGAUUAAGAGCUUGCUCUUAUGAAGUUAGCGGCGGACGGGUGAGUAACACGUGGGUAACCUGCCCAUAAGACUGGGAUAACUCCGGGAAACCGGGGCUAAUACCGGAUAACAUUUUGAACCGCAUGGUUCGAAAUUGAAAGGCGGCUUCGGCUGUCACUUAUGGAUGGACUCGCGGCGCAUUAGCUAGUUGGUGAGGUAACGGCUCACCAAGGCAACGAUGCGGAGCCGACCUGAGAGGGUGAGCGGCCACACUGGGACUGAGACACGGCCCAGACUCCUACGGGAGGCAGCAGUAGGGAAUCUUCCGCAAUGGACGAAAGUCUGACGGAGCAACGCCGCGUGAGUGAUGAAGGCUUUCGGGUCGUAAAACUCUGUUGUUAGGGAAGAACAAGUGCUAGUUGAAUAAGCUGGCACCUUGACGGUACCUAACCAGAAAGCCACGGCUAACUACGUGCCAGCAGCCGCCGUAA